RNAcentral lists this ribosomal RNA (253 nucleotides) under uncultured bacterium. Its description in RNAcentral is "partial 16S ribosomal RNA". It matches the Rfam family "Bacterial small subunit ribosomal RNA", at positions 524 to 776 of the family's 1533-position model. The record is from RNAcentral.
UACAGAGGUCCCGAGCGUUGUUCGGAUUCAUUGGGCGUAAAGGGUGCGUAGGCGGCGGGGAAAGUCUGAUGUGAAAUCCUGGGGCUCAACCCUGGAACUGCAUUGGAUACUUCCUUGCUAGAGUACUGGAGAGGAAACUGGAAUUUACGGUGUAGCAGUGAAAUGCGUAGAGAUCGUAAGGAAGACCAGUGGCGAAGGCGAGUUUCUGGACAGUUACUGACGCAGAGGCACGCAGGCCAGGGGAGCAAACGGG